RNAcentral lists this long non-coding RNA (220 nucleotides) under Carica papaya (papaya). RNAcentral's name for it is "long non-coding RNA (CPAP_LNC000098)". The record is from RNAcentral. Lineage: Eukaryota; Viridiplantae; Streptophyta; Magnoliopsida; Brassicales; Caricaceae.
UCUCACAUGUGGCCAUGAAUACAUCAGUUGCAAAAAGAAGCAUAAUAUUGUGUAUAUAUCUAUACAUACAGAUCAAGGCCAAAAAAAAAAAGGUCCAUAACCGGCUCAACAGAGGGGCCAAGAGCCAGUUUAGUUUGUAGGGUUACUUGAUCGUACGUAAUAAGGUAGUACGUCGCUAGCCAUGCAUGCAUGCACACAUGACUAUCAAAAAUACAUGUGU